CCUACGGGCGGCAGCAGUGAGGAAUAUUGGUCAAUGGACGAGAGUCUGAACCAGCCAAGUAGCGUGAAGGAUGACUGCCCUAUGGGUUGUAAACUUCUUUUUUAUGGGAUUAAAAUGUUCCAGGUGUGGGUUUUUUUUUUUACCAUUUGAUAAAGGAUCGGCUAAUUCCGUGCCAGCAGCCGCGGUAAUACGGAGGAUCCGAGCGUUAUCCGGAUUUAUUGGGUUUAAAGGGAGCGUAGGUGGAUUGUUAAGUAAGUUGUGAAAGUUUGCGGCUCAACCGUAAAAUUGCAGUUGAAACUGGCAGUCGUGAGUACAGUAGAGGUGGGCGGAAUUCGUGGUGUAGCGGUGAAAUGCUUAGAUAUCACGAAGAACUCCGAUUGCGAAGGCAGCUCACUGGACUGCAACUGACACUGAGGCUCGAAAGUGUGGGUAUCAAACAGGAUUAGAUACCCGUGUAGUC
RNAcentral lists this ribosomal RNA (460 nucleotides) under uncultured bacterium. RNAcentral describes it as "partial 16S ribosomal RNA". It matches the Rfam family "Bacterial small subunit ribosomal RNA", at positions 338 to 795 of the family's 1533-position model. The record is from RNAcentral.